Vitis riparia (riverbank grape) is the source of this 3174-nucleotide RNA transcript. It is a transcript of the gene named SH3 domain-containing protein 3-like, with no coding region annotated. NCBI's taxonomy places the organism in Eukaryota, Viridiplantae, Streptophyta, Magnoliopsida, Vitales, Vitaceae. The record is from RefSeq and is a predicted model, not a curated record. The transcript is spliced from 5 exons.
CUAAAUAGGCCUUGAAAAUAAAUAAACUAGGACAAAUGAAAUUAAUUAUUGGGACAUGAAAAUAUUAUAUAAAUUCUGGUUAAAUGAAGCUGAUGAUCUGAUAUAGAUAUACCAUUCUCAUUCUUUAGUCCUGAGACUUUCCUCUCUUUCACCUCUUUUCUUCUCCUCUUCUCUUUUAUGUACCUUAUUGUCGUCACGAUCUCACCUUCUCGUUCCAAACAAAAACAAAUUUUUUUCCCUGGUAGCGUAGAAAGUGAAAGAAACUGGAGGUAGGAAGACGAGGCUUUUGUGUCUCAUCUAUGGUGGUGUCUCCCCGAAGUGGAAUCUAGGGCCCGGUGGAAGCCAUAGACUUGAGAGAAGGGGAAGUAAAAGGCGGAGGACUUUUGAGUUUUAUUGGCCGAGAGGCUAGGGCACGGUGUGAUUUGGUUCGAUCUCGGUGUGGAAGCUCGGGGAAUCAGCUUAGUGCGUAGUGGUUUUGUGGUUGUGGGAUUUUGGAAACCUUAGAUUUGGGUCAGGGUUGUGUGGUUGGCUGAUUAAGCUAGGGGCGGGGCUGCCCAUGCGAUUGACUGGGUUUUCAUGCUGUCAAAACCACUUCCUUGGGAUCGGAAGGACUUCUUCAAGGAGAGGAGAGGAAGCACGAGAGGUCGGAGUCUUUAAGUUUGCUGCAAGAUAGAGGACUCGCAUCAGGGGUCUUGGGAGUUUGCUCGCUGGAAUUGGCAGACUUGCGCUGUCCUACAGAAGCACGAGAGGUCGGAGUCUUUAGGUUUGCUGCAAGAUAGAGGGAUUCGCAUCAGGUUCUUGGGAAAACGCUCACCGGGAUCGGUAGACUUUCGCCCCCCUACAGGUGAGUUAUGAAUCCGGGUUCUUGAUGAUUGUGAUGAAAUUCGUAGGUUUUGGUUUAAACCAAGAAUAAUAAUAGGGUUCUUAGAUAGUUUUUGUUAAUGUGCUGUUUAGUUGUGCAGAAAUUGUAAUUAAAAAAACAGAUAGUUUUUUAUCUUUUUAAGUCAAAUAAAACUACCUGUAAGAAAGUUCUAGGUUUUGAAUUUUUGAAGUUUCAUCGUGUUCUUUGGUAUUUUGAUUUACCAUGAACUUUUCUUACCUAUCAAAAAAAAUAAAAUAAAAAAUAAGGCUGGGUUAGAAAUUCAUAGACAUCAACUUGCUCAAAUCCAUGAUAGAAAACCCUAUCAAAGCUAAAGGUAAAAAUCCUCUCCCUUCUCAUCCUACCAUUCAUCAAUUCAAUUAUUAUAAUGAUUUUUUUCAUGAAUAAAUGAACAGAAACAGAUAAGUAGCAAUUUUUAGUGAAAGAUAACCUUGAAAAUGGAAGUUUCUGAAUCUAGGCUUUGGACAAAAACAGUAUCACCAUGAUCUUUUCUCUCUUUUGAACUUAAAGGUCUAAAGCAUGCAUAGACUGUUAUGUGCGACAUAUUUUUAUGAUGCCAAAAACCUUUAUCUUCCAAGAAUUAGUGCAUAACUAUCAUGAAAUUCAGCAAAAUAGAGUAUGACUUAAUCCACCUGAAAAUUCUAGAACUAGAGCUUUGUUUUGUCAUUGAGGCAUUUUCUAAUUCAUUACUGAAAAUUUUACAUUAUUAUUUAUUAGUACAGUAUCAACUAUCACACAAACUUGUAUUUGUCUCUUAGAAGGUUUGAAACCUCUAAUUGGUGAUACACUCCUUGUUGCAGGGACACUUUUCUUUGCCAUGAGCAAUGUUGGUGAGGUGGGUAAAUAUCAAUACACUUGAAUAUGAUUGUCACAUCAUUUGGGGGCUUUUGACUCUGGAAGAUUUCUGAUUAAUGUCAUUAAAUUUUUUCUUUUUCUUUUGAAACAAUAUGCCCCUUGAAGACUUGCUUUGAAUAAAUAAGAUUUUAACUUGUUUAGCAUUGUCUAUUGUUGUCUUAUUGUAUUAGAGAGAAGAAAAAAUUACACCUUGAUUCCAUUAUUCUCCUUUUCAAUUCUAUCUAGUUUAUCAUCUUUGAAAACUUGAAGACCUUCUACUUCUAGCUUUAUCUUGCAGAAGGACAAUGAUUCCUGAUCUAUCUGAAUGAGGUUUAACACCAAGAACCAGAUCAGGCCUUGGACAACUCAGAUGGAAAUUAAAUCAUCUUGUCUGCAUCACUGCUCCAUCUCCAAAUUGACUUGAGCUUUUCUUAUUUACUGACAUUCUAUUUUUGUACAGAUUUAUAUACAAUGGAUCUGUAGAAAUUAUAUUGGAUAUUGCACAAGAUCUCCUCAUAGCUACUGAUCAGUAUCUCUUGCAGGGAUAAAGCGUCCCUGUGAGUGUACCAUUGCCCAUGAUAUAUCACUGGAAAAUGUUUCAAGAAUGCAUGAGCUUUCAGAAGCCUUCCGUGCUAUUUCCUUAAGACACACAUGCCUCUUGUCUAUCUUGGAGCAGUUUAGUAAACUGAGUUCUAGGGCCGGUUGAAAGGCACGAUGAGUACAGAAGAAACUCAAAUUUUAUAAAGGAAUUCAUUUUCCUUGGUGGAUGUUUUCCUUCAUUCAUUAGAGUAACAAUGGCCAUACUGUUGCAUCAAGACCCUGGUAUAUGUGUGAAACUUAUGAUGGUGAACUUGUUUUGCACAUUUGACUCAGACAAGCCUCUUUAUUUCCAUUCUUGCUAAACAAAUUCAUGUUAGGCAUUAUUGACUUUUAAUAGAUGUUGUUUGGUUGUGGGAACUCAAGUGAACUCAACUUACAGGUGGAAGCUGAGAGAUCUUAUCAUCAAACUGUACUUGCUACUUUAGAGAAACUAUACGAUGAGUAUAACAAAGAUUAUGACUGGAAUACUUUCUCCACAUGUUUAUUAUUGGAAUUAGAUGAUUAUGGAGAAGAAACGAAACGAGUCUUCAUCUCAGCCAAUAACUAUGGAGAAAGAUGUUUGCGUUCCUACCACAUCCAAGGAUGCAAAUUCAAAUGGAUUUGACAAUCAUGGACAUGCAAAUCAAAAUGGUUCAUACUUUAUUGCAAAAGUAAAGUCUUUGAUCGCCUAGACCAUCCAUUAAUUACUGCCUAUGGAUUACUCACUGUUUUAUUAAAAUUGAUUGAUAUUGGAAAUUCCCAGUUCUUAUAGGGCAGCUCACUGUAUAUUGCUUCACUUACUCCAUUCUUUUUUUCUUUCGUAAUCUGUUUCAUUGCACUAUUGGCGACUAUUUCACCACAUCAAAUUAUAUUUUGCAGCU